This 2366-nucleotide unclassified non-coding RNA is filed under the name Cimex lectularius (bed bug). RNAcentral describes it as "uncharacterized LOC106672679, transcript variant X1". The record is from RNAcentral. Lineage: Eukaryota; Metazoa; Arthropoda; Insecta; Hemiptera; Cimicidae.
AGAUGUGUACAUAAUAUUGAAUUGCCCAAUAUAUUGAGUCAAUAAAAAAGUGUUGAAUUUUUAUUGUGCAAUGUGGUAAACAUUGCGUCGCCUGUGGACGAUAUUGCGCAAUAUUGGUUCAGUCCAGACGAUAUGAUAUCAGUUCUGUCUUUACAGUCGUGCGUUUAACAUCGACUAAUCAAAAAAUGGUUUCAAACGGAACCAAAGCAGAAGAAAGAAAAUUUAUCUUAGAAUGUAUCGAGUUAUAUCGGAGUUUACCAGCUUUAUGGAACGUGAAGUGUAAAGAUUACAACAACAGAAUUAAAAAAAAUGAACAAUACGAACAUUUGCUUCGUAAGUACAGAGAAAAGUAUCCCGUUGCUGAUAAAUCGCAGUUAGUUAAAAAAUUGAAUUCGUUGCGCACUAACUUCAGAAAGGAAUUGAAGAGGAUAAAGGAUUUUGAACAAAACUAUGCAGGAAGAGGCUACAUAAUGAAACCAACAUUAUGGUAUUUUGAGGAAAUGAAGUUUCUCACAAGUCUGGAAGAACAAAAUGAGUCUCAAAAUACUAUUAAGUUAAACUACGGCUACAAGAAAGAGCGUAAGGAGGGUACCAACGAGGAAAUGAAGUUUCUCACAAGUCUGGAAGAACAAAAUGAAUCAGAAAAUACUAUGAAGAUAGAGUAUGGCAUCAAGGAAGAAGAUGAAAUCAACAGUUUGGGCAAUAUUGGAACAAUCAUUAAUACUUUUACAAUUGGUAGCAAAAAUGGUCCUCCAAACAAGAAGGCAAGGAAACUCGACGAGUCUGAAGAAUUAAUAUCUCUGCCACGCAAACAUCUUGAACAACCUCAAACUUACUUUGACAAAAUUGCUUCAUCUUGGGCAGUAGAACUUCAGAAAAUGGUUCCACAGCAACAAUUGUUUGCGAAAAAGGCCAUCAAUGAUAUAUUGUUCGAAGGCCAAAUGGGCACUCUGCGCAGAGAUUCUGUGCAAAUUAAUUCUUCAUGUUGCACAUCUACUCCUUAUAACAGUAUGCAGCCAAGCCCCAUUUCAUGAUUCAACUCUCUGUACACAUGAAAACCAGUUAAUUAAAAGAACCUAAGGCACUCUUAUGCUUCUCAAUUGGUAAUGCCCCUCAACAGCAUUUCGUUUUCGAGAGUACCCCAUUCACAGGAUCUCGAGAGCGUGUGAAGAUCUGUAGUCCUCAGCAGGUUCUAACGAGCCUUGUUUCCUUCGCAAGAAUUUAACACGUUCAUAUGAUAUAUUCUUUUUUGGAAUGAAAUGAUCCUCAAACCGUUUAACGAUUAUUUCGUAAGAACUGAUUUUGUCUUCAAGAUGAGAUGAAUCCAAUAUUUAUUCCUUUUCGCCCAUGCAGUAUAUGAGUAUAUUGACUUGGUUCUUUCCCGGCGUAAUUUCCAACCGCUUAUCGCACGAUAGCGUUGGAAUCGCCUUUUCCAAGUUGCCCAAUCGAUUGGCUUAAACGUAAAAUUGUCAGACUUUACCUGCACGUGUCCCUCAAGCCAGGAUAUAACAAAAAAUUUUGCUUCAAUGCUAACUCGAGACUUGCUUGUAUCUAGACCUGGUCAUUAGACAGUCUAGAGACUGUCUGCGGCAAGUUGAGAGACCCCGGUCUACCAGUGUGUACGAGCCUUAAGAACUAUCUUUUAAAGUAGUCGAUAUAAUUUUAUACGAUUUUUCCCUGCAAUGCGGAUAUACCUUGUGGAAUUAUUAAGCUGGCAAACAGCAUUGGAUUUACUUUUCCAAGGUAUUCCCGUUCCUUCUACAUAAAGAAAAACCCUCUUCGGUCUUCCGUUAAAAACGAUUGUUGGUUAGUCGUUUUCUAUAAUUUUGACAUUUAUUUUUCCUAUCAGACUGGAUGACUGACACAUUUUUUAAAAUAACUUGGUAGAGAGUUGGGAAAUUUCGUUAAACUACCUAUUAGUACCUUUGUUAGUACAGUGAUAGUAUGAUUUAUGUACGAAAACGUCAUCAUUUUAGAGUGAUGACUUCCGUUUUUCCCUGACGGGGAGCAGAGGGAAUAGUCGCCUAGGGGUCCCCCCCCUGGAGCCCCCGUAAUUAAAUUUCAAGCACCGAUAUGUACUAAAUGAAACAAAAUGAAAAGAUACUUAUGUUAUAUAAAGGACAAAAUUAAAUAGAACGUGAAAUAGACAUGACCUUUCACUCAUGAGUCAAAACCGAUUCUGUCCUUCAAUGUUAACACCCACAACACUCGUAAUUCUCGUCCUUUAUCAGAACGAACACAAAAAUAUAACUAUUCACUGGCAUUUCUAGAAUUUUAUGUAUUGGUAAUAAGUUUUAUACUGUUGAUCUGUUUAAUAAUAAUAAUAAAAAUAUAUUUUUUAGAACUGAAAAAUUGUAAGUAAAUUU